GUCAGGUAUGGUGGUGCACACCUGUAAUCCCAGCUGCUCAAGAGACUAGGGUAGGAGGCUGGCAAGUUUGAAGUCAGCCUCAGCAACUUAGCAAGACCCUGUCUUAA
This 107-nucleotide small RNA is filed under the name Marmota monax (woodchuck). The record is from RNAcentral. Lineage: Eukaryota; Metazoa; Chordata; Mammalia; Rodentia; Sciuridae.